UCUAGCUGCACUGGUUUUGAAAAGUAAAAAAUGCUUUCUGAUUAUUUUGCCUUAACUGUCUUGAAGAAUGUUGGGGUUUUUUAUGAGACAGAUUUCCUUUGGAAUAACCUGUGUCUGGUUAGGAAGACUAAGGUGGAAAGAAAUGGCUCCAUCCCACUCAAGAUGACACAUGCAGCUCAAAAAAGUGGGAACUUUGAGCUGGUUGGAAGUCAAGCUGAACCACAACCUCCCUUGAGGUGGGGAGAAUGGAUGAGAAAUAGAAGACUGUGUCUUAAAAUGGAAUUCAAGACAAGGGGAAGAAACAGAGGGAAUCCACUCUGUUGGAAAUAUACUUUCUUCAAUUACCUGCUUUCAAAUGAAAGGAAAAAGUAGAUUGCUUAACCUGAAAAGGUGGCUGAACAACAGGUCACCUGGAGAAAUCUUUACACACUUCCAAUGUUCUCUGAGGGGACAUUUUGGAUCAGAAGAAAAUGGAGAUCUAAUCUGAUGGUAACUUGUUUGUUCCUUGGGUUCAUUAUUUGGUGUUUUCUGAUAUUAACUGUAACCUACUCUAGUAAGAGAAAUCACCAUCACUUAUUCCAGUGGCAAUGGUUUGAUGGAAAAUGUGACUGCAAUAUCGUUCUGUAUGAAAGACAAACUGUGAGUGUUUGAUCAGUGUACAAAGAAGAAGAAAAUAUAUAUGAGGCAAUAAAAAAAUAGGAGCUAGAGCUAAAAGUUAAACA
Molecule: long non-coding RNA, 722 nt
Filed under: Cyanistes caeruleus (blue tit)
Lineage: Eukaryota; Metazoa; Chordata; Aves; Passeriformes; Paridae
Description: lncRNA (ENSCCEG00000022787.1)
Source: RNAcentral